CUAGUUUCAGACUGAGCUAUUCUGUGUUUGUACUGUGAAAUGUGUGUCUCUGUGAACAGUGUUAAUGGUUUUGUUUGUCUACAUGCUGUAGAUAUAACUGUGAGUCUACUGCUUUCUGUUAAGUCAUGUGUAUAAUGUUUGUGUUCCUGUGUGGAUUCCAAUGGUUUAUGUCAGAGGAAGAACUUCAGCACUUUUCUAACCCUCAUGGUCUGGCUGCUCACAGCCCAGGAAGUCCCAGCUCUGGACAACAAGACGACAGAUUUGACAUUGAUCCAUGCCAAGAACCUGUGGAAACCAAGCACUUAUUUCUUGAAAACAUCCCACUUGCCCCCCUGGAGGUUGAGAAUCAAGGAGAUGUUACAUACAAGGAGCCGAAAACUACAGACUCCAGCCUACCAAAACAUACAGCAAAACUGGAACAAGACAAAGUGAGUCAUCUACCAGAUACUACACCAAAAGAGGGAUGCCAAAAAGAAGAGAAAAAUGAGCGGAAAUUGCUUAAUAGUAGAGGGCGGGAAGAGAAGAACACCAAAGAGCCAGAUGUAUACACCUUCCCAGGAGACUCUGAGCCAGAGAGUCCACCGCCUGGACCUUGGGCGCAAUGCACCUUCAUCCAGCGCCGAAGAAAAAAGAGGGCCAUAUUGAGGCCUUUCUCUGGCUUAGACACUUGGCAACGCACAACGGGAGCCGGCAGAAGGACCAGAGGAAAACCCUCUGGAGCACAGGAGCGUAGGAAAACCACAAAGGUUGGGGAAAGGAUGUUCAAACUUAAAGAGGAAAAGGAAGAGAAGAUACGAGGAAGGCAGAGGUCAGUAGUAGAUCACCA
This 826-nucleotide long non-coding RNA is filed under the name Sinocyclocheilus anshuiensis. Its description in RNAcentral is "lncRNA (ENSSANG00000038693.1)". The record is from RNAcentral. Lineage: Eukaryota; Metazoa; Chordata; Actinopteri; Cypriniformes; Cyprinidae.